RNAcentral lists this ribosomal RNA (464 nucleotides) under uncultured bacterium. RNAcentral's name for it is "partial 16S ribosomal RNA". It matches the Rfam family "Bacterial small subunit ribosomal RNA", at positions 339 to 795 of the family's 1533-position model. The record is from RNAcentral.
CUACGGGAGGCUGCAGUGGGGAAUAUUGCACAAUGGGCGCAAGCCUGAUGCAGCCAUGCCGCGUGUAUGAAGAAGGCCUUCGGGUUGUAAAGUACUUUCAGCGGGGAGGAAGGGAGUAAAGUUAAUACCUUUGCUCAUUGACGUUACCCGCAGAAGAAGCACCGGCUAACUCCGUGCCAGCAGCCGCGGUAAUACGGAGGGUGCAAGCGUUAAUCGGAAUUACUGGGCGUAAAGCGCACGCAGGCGGUUUGUUAAGUCAGAUGUGAAAUCCCCGGGCUCAACCUGGGAACUGCAUCUGAUACUGGCAAGCUUGAGUCUCGUAGAGGGGGGUAGAAUUCCAGGUGUAGCGGUGAAAUGCGUAGAGAUCUGGAGGAAUACCGGCGGCGAAGGCGGCCCCCUGGACGAAGACUGACGCUCAGGUGCGAAAGCGUGGGGAGCAAACAGGAUUAGAUACCCUUGUAGUC